Molecule: ribosomal RNA, 497 nt
Filed under: Albugo candida
Lineage: Eukaryota; Oomycota; Peronosporomycetes; Albuginales; Albuginaceae
Description: LSU rRNA
Rfam family: Eukaryotic large subunit ribosomal RNA
Source: RNAcentral
AAGCUCAAGCUUGAAAUCUCCGCACAAGUUUUGUGUGGCGAAUUGUAGUCUAUAGAAGCGAUGUCAGCAUAGCUGCUCUAGUCAAGUUCCUUGGAAAAGGACAGCAUGGAGGGUUAUACUCCCGUCAUUGCUGGAGCAUGCUGUGUGUACGACACGUUUUCUUUGAGUCGCGUUGUUUGGGAAUGCAGCGCAAAGUAGGUGGUAAAUUCCAUCUAAAGCUAAAUAUAAGUGCGAGACCGAUAGCGAACAAGUACCGUGAGGGAAAGAUGAAAAGAACUUUGAAAAGAGAGUUAAAGAGUACCUGAAACUGCUGAAAGGGAAGCGAAUCGUAUCCAGUGUCUAUAAUCCGCAACAUAUUACAAUGAUGUGUCUUUGCUUUCCGCGUGUAGGUAGUAGCCUUGGUUGCACCUUGCGUGGAUUGGUUGAGACAUAUCGUUGCCCUGUGUUGUGGUGGGACGUCAAAGUCAGUUUGUACGUCGCAGCAAAUGAUUGACGAG